Molecule: non-coding RNA, 19 nt
Filed under: Arabidopsis thaliana (thale cress)
Lineage: Eukaryota; Viridiplantae; Streptophyta; Magnoliopsida; Brassicales; Brassicaceae
Also listed under: 1 other name
Source: RNAcentral
AGAAUCUUGAUGAUGCUGC